RNAcentral lists this non-coding RNA (27 nucleotides) under Mus musculus (house mouse). Lineage: Eukaryota; Metazoa; Chordata; Mammalia; Rodentia; Muridae. The record is from RNAcentral.
UCCCUGGGCUAAUAUAGCAGAGAGGAG